UUGUUACUUAAUGAUAACUUUGUUUUCCGCUUACUGCUCCUACACUAGCUAUUGACAUUUAUUAAGGUAGGGCACUCAAGGUCUAUUAACAGAUUGCGUAUUAUUACAUAAUUUUUGUAUAUGACUGUUUGUUGCCUAAAUUAAAAAAAAAAAAGUA
Cydia amplana is the source of this 157-nucleotide long non-coding RNA. RefSeq lists it as uncharacterized. NCBI's taxonomy places the organism in Eukaryota, Metazoa, Arthropoda, Insecta, Lepidoptera, Tortricidae. The transcript is spliced from 2 exons. The record is from RefSeq and is a predicted model, not a curated record.